UAUAUAUCUGGGUAGUAUGUAUACUCACUGACUAUACGCUUAACUUUUAAAUGUACUCCAGAAAUUUUUAAGUAUGUUUGCUCUUAUCUUCCGCCUCAGCGUUCUAUCGAUCAACCCUAAAUCUUCUGCCUAGCAAUUCUAAGCAAGCGCGUGAACGUAUACAACAAAUAACAUUUUUUCAAAAUAGCGAAUAAGUG
This is a long non-coding RNA of Drosophila arizonae, 197 nucleotides long. NCBI's taxonomy places the organism in Eukaryota, Metazoa, Arthropoda, Insecta, Diptera, Drosophilidae. The record is from RefSeq and is a predicted model, not a curated record.